UCAAGUCAGCUUGGGUUAUUAUUGUCUAAAAAUGUAUGUGCUGGCUUAAAUUCUUUAAGUGUUAAAACAGCCAAAUCCUUAACAAUGUAGUUUUAUCAGCUCUUACCAGAAUGGCAUAUCUUAGUAAGCAGUGUCAAUCCCUUAUGCAAAAUACCAGACCCUUAAUUGAUUAUAACACAAAGAUAGGUAUGAAACCCUAGUUCCUGUGUUUGCACUGCAAUAAUCCUUCCUGGGAAAAGAAAGCUGAUUUUUAUACCAAAAGACAGAUCUGAAGUCAUUCUUACUUUGGACUUCAGACAUUAAACGUGAACAACUGUUUAAAACUGUCUUUUUCAUCUUUUCCAGAACGCUAGCCUAAAGGCCUCGCAUCUUAAACCCUAAAUUAAACCUAUUGUCAAACCCGUCUCUGGAGCUAAGUCACCCCGUAAAACCCGAGCGUAAAACAUGACAUA
Molecule: long non-coding RNA, 452 nt
Organism: Ruditapes philippinarum (Manila clam)
Lineage: Eukaryota; Metazoa; Mollusca; Bivalvia; Venerida; Veneridae
Exons: 2
Source: RefSeq, a predicted model, not a curated record